This is a long non-coding RNA of Oncorhynchus masou masou (cherry salmon), 467 nucleotides long. RefSeq lists it as uncharacterized. The record is from RefSeq and is a predicted model, not a curated record. Lineage: Eukaryota; Metazoa; Chordata; Actinopteri; Salmoniformes; Salmonidae. The transcript is spliced from 2 exons.
GAUCAGCUCCGUGUGGAGGCCAGUGGGAAUGUGUUUCCUCCCCCUGGAGACCCUCUCAGACAGUGAGGUUACAGAUCAGCCACGUGUGGAGGCCAGUGGGAAUGUGUUUCCUCCCCCUGAGACCCUCUCAGACAGUGAGGUUACAGAUCAGCUCCGUGUGGAGGCCAGUGGGAAUGUGUUUCCUCCCCCUGAGACCCUCUCAGACAGUGAGGUUACAGAUCAGCUCCGUGUGGAGGCCAGUGGGAAUGUGUUUCCUCCCCCUGAGACCCUCUCAGACAGUGAGGUUACAGAUCAGCCACGUGUGGAGGCCAGUGGGAAUGUUGAGAAAAAGAGAGAGAUUAUUUUGCAACUUGUGUGAGUGUAAUAUUUACUGUUCACUUUAUUGUUUAUUUCACUUUUGUUUAUCCAUUUUAUUGCUUUGGCGAUGUAAACAUGUUUCCCAUGACAAUAAAGCCCCUUGAAUUGAA